UUCGCAAUGCCCGAAAGGGUGACGAAGCGACGCCGCGUGGGUGAAGAAGGCCUUCGGGUUGUAAAACCCUGUCAGGAGUUAUGAAAUGUAAGUGCGCUAAUAUCGUGCUUAUUUGACAAAGGCUCCAAAGGAAGCCACGGCUAACUCUGUGCCAGCAGCCGCGGUAAUACAGAGGUGGCGAGCGUUGUUCGGAAUUAUUGGGCGUAAAGAGCACGUAGGUGGGUUUACAAGUCAGAUGUGAAAGCCUUCUGUUCAACGGGAGAAUUGCAUCUGAAACUACUAAUCUUGAGUAUAGGAGGGGAGAAUGGAACUUCUGGUGGAGCGGUGAAAUGCGUAGAUAUCAGAAGGAAUGCCGGCGGCGAAAGCGAUUCUCUGGCCUAUUACUGACACUCAGUGUGCGAAAGCUAGGGGAGCAAACGGGAUUAG
RNAcentral lists this ribosomal RNA (426 nucleotides) under uncultured bacterium. RNAcentral's name for it is "bacterial SSU rRNA". It matches the Rfam family "Bacterial small subunit ribosomal RNA", at positions 365 to 781 of the family's 1533-position model. The record is from RNAcentral.